This 1109-nucleotide ribosomal RNA is filed under the name Rummeliibacillus stabekisii. Its description in RNAcentral is "bacterial SSU rRNA". It matches the Rfam family "Bacterial small subunit ribosomal RNA", at positions 59 to 1153 of the family's 1533-position model. Lineage: Bacteria; Bacillati; Bacillota; Bacilli; Caryophanales; Caryophanaceae. The record is from RNAcentral.
CAGUCGAGCGAAUGACAGAGGAGCUUGCUCCUCUGAUUUAGCGGCGGACGGGUGAGUAACACGUGGGCAACCUGCCCUGCAGACUGGGAUAACUUCGGGAAACCGGAGCUAAUACCGGAUAAUCCAUUUUACUUCAUGGUGAAAUGUUGAAAGGCGCUUUCGCGCCACUGCAGGAUGGGCCCGCGGUGCAUUAGCUAGUUGGUGGGGUAACGGCCUACCAAGGCGACGAUGCAUAGCCGACCUGAGAGGGUGAUCGGCCACAUUGGGACUGAGACACGGCCCAAACUCCUACGGGAGGCAGCAGUAGGGAAUCUUCCACAAUGGACGAAAGUCUGAUGGAGCAACGCCGCGUGAGUGAUGAAGGUUUUCGGAUCGUAAAACUCUGUUGUAAGGGAAGAACAAGUACGUUAGGAAAUGAACGUACCUUGACGGUACCUUAUUAGAAAGCCACGGCUAACUACGUGCCAGCAGCCGCGGUAAUACGUAGGUGGCAAGCGUUGUCCGGAUUUAUUGGGCGUAAAGCGCGCGCAGGUGGUUUCUUAAGUCUGAUGUGAAAUCUCGCGGCUCAACCGCGAGCGGUCAUUGGAAACUGGGGAACUUGAGUGCAGAAGAGGAUAGUGGAAUUCCAAGUGUAGCGGUGAAAUGCGUAGAGAUUUGGAGGAACACCAGUGGCGAAGGCGACUGUCUGGUCUGUAACUGACACUGAGGCGCGAAAGCGUGGGGAGCAAACAGGAUUAGAUACCCUGGUAGUCCACGCCGUAAACGAUGAGUGCUAAGUGUUAGGGGGUUUCCGCCCCUUAGUGCUGCAGCUAACGCAUUAAGCACUCCGCCUGGGGAGUACGACCGCAAGGUUGAAACUCAAAGGAAUUGACGGGGGCCCGCACAAGCGGUGGAGCAUGUGGUUUAAUUCGAAGCAACGCGAAGAACCUUACCAGUCUUGACAUCCCAGUGACCGCUCUAGAGAUAGAGUUUUCCCUUCGGGGACAUUGGUGACAGUGGUGCAUGGUUGUCGUCAGCUCGUGUCGUGAGAUGUUGGGUUAAGUCCCGCAACGAGCGCAACCCUUGAUCUUAGUUGCCAUCAUUUAGUUGGGCACUCUAAGGUGACUGCC